GUAUACUGGUUAGUACAUUGCGUUGUGGCCGCAAUAACCCAGGUUCGAAUCCUGG
Molecule: transfer RNA, 55 nt
Filed under: Nematostella vectensis (starlet sea anemone)
Lineage: Eukaryota; Metazoa; Cnidaria; Anthozoa; Actiniaria; Edwardsiidae
Rfam family: tRNA
About the family: Transfer RNA (tRNA) molecules are approximately 80 nucleotides in length. Their secondary structure includes four short double-helical elements and three loops (D, anti-codon, and T loops).
Source: Rfam by way of RNAcentral